CCUACGGGCGGCAGCAGUGGGGAAUAUUGGACAAUGGGGGGAACCCUGAUCCAGCGACGCCGCGUGAGUGAAGAAGUAUUUCGGUAUGUAAAGCUCUAUCAGCAGGGAAGAAAGAAAUGACGGUACCUGACUAAGAAGCCCCGGCUAACUACGUGCCAGCAGCCGCGGGAAUACGUAGGGGGCAAGCGUUAUCCGGAUUUACUGGGUGUAAAGGGAGCGUAGACGGCGAUGCAAGUCUGAAGUGAAAGGCGGGGGCCCAACCCCUGGACUGCUUUGGAAACUGUAUGGCUGGAGUGCAGGAGAGGUAAGUGGAAUUCCUAGUGUAGCGGUGAAAUGCGUAGAUAUUAGGAGGAACACCAGUGGCGAAGGCGGCUCACUGGACUGUAACUGACGUUGAGGCUCGAAAGCGUGGGGAGCAAACAGGAUUAGAUACCCUGGUAGUC
This 443-nucleotide ribosomal RNA is filed under the name uncultured bacterium. RNAcentral describes it as "partial 16S ribosomal RNA". It matches the Rfam family "Bacterial small subunit ribosomal RNA", at positions 338 to 795 of the family's 1533-position model. The record is from RNAcentral.